UACGUAGGUGGCAAGCGUUGUCCGGAUUUAUUGGGUUUAAAGGGUGCGUAGGUGGUCUAUUAAGUCAGUGCUGAAAUAUCCCGGCUUAACCGGGAGGGUGGCAUUGAUACUGAUGGACUUGAGUAAAGUUGAGGUAGGCGGAAUUGACGGGUGUAGCGGUGAAAUGCUUAGAUAUCGUCAAGAACACCUAUUGCGAAGGCAGCUUACUAAGCUUUAACUGACACUGAUGCACGAAAGUGUGGGGAUCAAACAGG
RNAcentral lists this ribosomal RNA (254 nucleotides) under uncultured bacterium. Its description in RNAcentral is "partial 16S ribosomal RNA". It matches the Rfam family "Bacterial small subunit ribosomal RNA", at positions 524 to 776 of the family's 1533-position model. The record is from RNAcentral.